RNAcentral lists this ribosomal RNA (529 nucleotides) under uncultured bacterium. RNAcentral's name for it is "bacterial SSU rRNA". It matches the Rfam family "Bacterial small subunit ribosomal RNA", at positions 777 to 1304 of the family's 1533-position model. The record is from RNAcentral.
AAUAGAUACCCCGGUAGUCCACGCCGUAAACGAUGAGCGCUAGGUGUUAGGGGGGUUUCCGCCCCUUAGUGCUGCAGCUAACGCAUUAAGCACUCCGCCUGGGGAGUACGGUCGCAAGACUGAAACUCAAAGGAAUUGACGGGGGCCCGCACAAGCGGUGGAGCAUGUGGUUUAAUUCGAAGCAACGCGAAGAACCUUACCAGGUCUUGACAUCCCGCUGACCGCCAUGGAGACAUGGCCUUCCCUUCGGGGACAGCGGUGACAGGUGGUGCAUGGUUGUCGUCAGCUCGUGUCGUGAGAUGUUGGGUUAAGUCCCGCAACGAGCGCAACCCUUGUCCUUAGUUGCCAUCAUUCAGUUGGGCACUCUAAGGAGACUGCCGUACAAAUACGGAGGAAGGUGGGGAUGACGUCAAAUCAUCAUGCCCCUUAUGACCUGGGCUACACACGUGCUACAAUGGGUGGUACAAAGGGCGGCAAACCCGCGAGGGGGAGCGAAUCCCAAAAAGCCACUCUCAGUUCGGAUUGCAGG